RNAcentral lists this ribosomal RNA (493 nucleotides) under uncultured bacterium. Its description in RNAcentral is "partial 16S ribosomal RNA". It matches the Rfam family "Bacterial small subunit ribosomal RNA", at positions 29 to 523 of the family's 1533-position model. The record is from RNAcentral.
AUUGAACGCUGGCGGCAUGCUUUACACAUGCAAGUCGAACGGUAACAGGUUAAGCUGACGAGUGGCGAACGGGUGAGUAAUGUAUCGGAACGUGCCCGGUCGUGGGGGAUAACGCAGCGAAAGCUGCGCUAAUACCGCAUACGAUCUGAGGAGGAACGCGGGGGACCGUAAGGCCUCGCGCGAUCGGAGCGGCCGAGGUCAGAUUAGGUAGUUGGAGAGGUAAAGGAUCACCAAGCCAACGAUCUGUAGCUAGUCUGAGAGGACGACCAGCCACACUGGGACUGAGACACGGCCCAGACUCCUAGGGGAGGCAGCAGGGGGGAAUUUUGGACAAUGGGCGAAAGCCUGAUCCAGCAAUGCCGCGUGCAGGAAGAAGGCCUUCGGGUUGUAAACUGCUUUUGUACGGAGCGAAAAGGUCUCCUCUAAUACAGGGGGCUCAUGACGGUACCGUAAGAAUAAGAACCGGCUAACUACGUGCCAGCCGCCGCAGUAA